Long non-coding RNA from Alligator mississippiensis (American alligator), 418 nucleotides. RefSeq lists it as uncharacterized. NCBI's taxonomy places the organism in Eukaryota, Metazoa, Chordata, Crocodylia, Alligatoridae. The record is from RefSeq and is a predicted model, not a curated record. The transcript is spliced from 4 exons.
GGAAGGGGAGGAUGAGUACAGAGUGAGCCAUGGAACACGGAACCAAGAGACACCCACAAGAUCAGCCCAGAUUAGGUGAGAGCGUGGUGAAUGUUGCCCUUUGUUGACAGGACACUGUGUGCACAAUGAAAAUCCCAAGUGAUGAGCUUGGGUUUUUUUGACAUUGCUCCAGAAACAAAGCAACUUUUGCAUGCAACUUCCAUCUGCAGAUCUGAGUCUAAUUUGAGACAACCUGAAAAGCCAAAAUGUGUUGAAGAAUGGUGACAACCAGGACUACAUCAGCUAGCACCCCUGAGAACAAAGCUUUCAGUGUGUUCAGAUAAGGAACAAAAGAUUGAUCCCAGCCAUGACAGAUGGAAUGCACCAUAGAAUUUAACUUGCUGAAUGAAGACCUACAAGCAGAAUCUGCUCUUCUCUC